Molecule: non-coding RNA, 5804 nt
Organism: Microcebus murinus (gray mouse lemur)
Lineage: Eukaryota; Metazoa; Chordata; Mammalia; Primates; Cheirogaleidae
Source: RefSeq, a predicted model, not a curated record
CCACCACGCCCAGCCUGAUAUUAACUUUAGUAUUAACUAAAUACUUGGCUCUAAUUUUAGUAUUAACAUAUGGCUUAUUAGGGUUGCAAGGAACUGCUUAGAGUUUAAUUUAUGCUAGAUAUUUGGGAUUCCUGGUGGAAAUAUAGCAACAUGUCAUUCAUAUGAAAGAAGUAUACACUCACAUCUUAACAAGUAAAACUGUGGGAAAAUAGACUGUGAUAUUGAUGUGAUGGAAUGGCCUAAACAACUUUUCUUGCUGAAUGGCCUGUAGUUAGGUUGCAGUGGUAGGGUUAAUUCUAUAUUAUAAACAGUAUACUUGUUCCUGAGCAACAUAUAUUUACUUUUAAUUGUAUCAAACAAUUGCUUGGAAAAUGACUAGAGCAGAAUUCAACAAGUCUCGAAAAUGCUAUGUAGAUGAUGGUAUUUAUCAUUUAGUACUUAAUAUUAUUGCAUUAUUGGUAAAACAAUAUUUCCAGAAGUGAAUGAUUCUACUAUCUCAGGCUGUAUUUCAUCUAGUUUCAGUUAGGAGACCCCUGCCAUACAAAUUUAGACCUGUAUAGGUUAAAUGUAAAUUUUUUUAUGGAAGACUUCCGUCACAGAGCAAUUCUCUAAUAUUGCUUCAUGUCCGUAACUACUGUUUUGCAAGCUACAUAAAGUUAUAAUUUAUCUUGUAUUUCUUAAUGUUUCACGAUUCAUUCAGAAAUUCAUUAGCUUUAAAAUGUCUAUAUUAGGAAUGAGAAAAACUUCCUUCUAACAUGAAAACAUUUUAAACUGACCCAACUUUAAUUAGGCAAGGUCUUAGAAUGUUUGUCACAGUAUUCUGAGCUCCUUUCUAGCCAAUGACAUACAUUUCAUAAAUAGCUCCUGUGUGAUCUUUGCUCAUUGGCUCCAUCCCCUAAUCAAUUAAUCUGUCUGAGGCUAAUUUAAUGUUAUCUUUAGAAAAUGUUAAUCCUAUUCUAUCUUCUUAUACCCAAUACAUUUGAACUUAAUCUUCUCCUCAUUAUUUACUAUCAGGAGAAUGUAAUAUAAUUUAAUAUUAACCUAUAAUAAAUUUAAUUCAAAUUUAAUUCAAAUGAAUUUAAUUCAGAAUGGAAUCUUUUGGAGGAAAGAAAACAUUCUAGAGUACUGAAGAAAUCAUUCAAUUGGUAGUAGAACACAAUCCUAAGAGCAUAUAGAAAUCCUUGGCCAACUAAUUUGAUGUCAUGUGAGAUAACAAAUAUAAAUAGCCUUCAAAAAACUCAAGGUAGUUGCACAAGUAAGGUACGGUCAUGCCCUGCAUUAAUGAUGUUUUAGUUAGUGGACCACGUACACUACAGUGGUCCCAUAAGAUUAUAAUAUAGUAUUUUUACCGUACCUUUUCUAUGUCUAGAUAUGUUUAGAUACACAAAUACUUACCACUGUAUUACAAUUGCCUAUAGUAUAUAGUUACAGUAACAUGUUUUACAGGUUUGUAGCUGAGGAGCAAUAUACCAUAUAAGUAUAUUCCAUAUAGCCUAAGUGUAUGGUAGGCUCUAUCAUCGAGACUUAUGUAAGUACACUCUAUAUGAUUAUACACAACAAAAUCACCUAGUGAUGUAUUUCUCAGAAUGCAUCCCCAUCAUUAAAUGACACAUGACUUUAGUAUAGUUUGAAUUGUCCAUGUUAUACCUUCUUCCAUUAAUAUAGAUGGUUGAAAUUUUAAUUUUUAAAAAAUAUUUAAACCUUUAAUCAUCUUGGUAUGCUGCUCUUUAAAUACUUUUAACAAAGGCUUCACUUCUUUGAAGUGAAUCUUUAAUUAGGUUGGAUUAUAUGGGUUUAUAAUUCUUAAAAUUUAAGAAGGUUAAAAUGUUUUCCAAUAUUAAAUGCUAAUGCCUUCCAAGAUUUCUGAUUUAAUUUUUAUCUCUCUGACAAAAAUAAAAUGCAUAUUUUAAGUUGAACUUUGACUUCUCUUACUGAAGCUAAUUGUUGAAAUGUCUUAUAUAGUCUGUUAAAGGGGUAAGAAGGGUAUUGAUCUUUGCUGAGCACCUACUGUGUUCUAGGAACUGUGUUAAAUGUUUUAUGCAUGGUAUGUCAUUUAAUACUUCAAACAACUCUUAAAGAAUGGUAUUAGUUUCCUUAACUUACAGAUGGAGAAAAGAGAACUCAGUUAAAUAAGUCCCAACAUUAAACUGUUUUGUAGCAGAGUUAAUAUUCAUCCUUUGUCAAUUUGGCUCAAAAGUCCACAUGCAUUUCAAUAUACUCCUCUUUCUCUUGUAAGUUAAGGAACAAAUGAAAGUGAUUAUUUUUCAGAAUCUACUGGGACUGAACCAAAAUUACCAAAUUACCAAAUUUAGAAGGAUUCCCCAGAAAGAUUUUACCUGUGAAAAGAUUAGGAGAAUUAAUAUUUAGUACUAAGAAUCAGAAUGGAAAAUUUUGAGCUUUUGGUUUUGAAACUUUCUGUAGUCUCAUUUCCUAGUAAUUCCUCAAGUUAAAAACAUUUAAAGCAGUUUUUGAGCCCUUGUGUGCAAAGCUCUGUAUUAGGAGCUCACUCCUUGAAUAACAGGUUCUAUUCCCUCUACAGUGGGUUUUGAAUAGUGCAAUUCUGGUCUUCAUAACCUUAUUGGAAUUUUCCUGUCAGUUCUAUUCAAAUUUUAGGAAUACUAUACUAACUUCUUAGGCAAAUCCUAAACUAUAACCAUAUAAGAAUAACUAAAAUAAUACAAAAACACAUACAUAUAUAUUUAGAAAAUAAACAGUGGAGACUAUUUAAAGCAAUAUUAAGUCAAAAUGACAGCAGGAUCCAAAAUGUGGGCAAAUAUGAAGGAAGGUGAGUCCCUCAUUAGUUUGAGACAAAAUUAUAUGAUGGCAUUAAGAAAUUAGGGUUUGAAGUGGGUUAUUACCAAUGGCAAUCCCAUAAAUUCAGUCACUGUGCCAAAUGUUUGAGAGCAAUAAUGAUACAGAUUAACAUACAAAAGCAAAUAAUUUCUUAGUUUAUCAGAGAUUCAUUAACAUAACUACACAACACAAUUUUACCUUUUUACACUUUAGAAAACAUAGGUUAGAUUUCAUGUAGUAUUUAGAAAAGUAGUAAUAGUAUACAGUAGUGAUUUAGCUAUAUUUUUGGGCUUUUCAUUCUUCAACUCAAAAAUGAGGAGUUGGAUUCAUUAAUUAUCCUUUAAGAGUCCUUCCUGGUCAAAAAUGUCAUAAUUCUAAGUACUUUUAGUAGGAAACACGUGAAGAUAUUCAGAAAGGAAAGAGGUUGCAGUAGUUAAGAAAGUUAGCAUUGUUGACAAAAAAGUUAUGUGAUGUGUGGAUAGGAAUAAAGACAAAGGAAUGCAUCCUUGUUAAAGAGUAGUAAGAUUUUACAUGAGUAGUAGAACACUUGACUGAGCGCUGAAAUGAUGUUGCUCUGUAUAAAAUACACACUUACAGGCUCUUAAUUUGGUUGGUAAAUUUAUAUAUCCUUAAUUUUAAUCAAAAUAUCACAAUGUAUCAAUAUUUUGACAAAUCCAUUUAUGGAAAAUACAUAAGAGUCACAUUUAAUAGGACUUACAUAUAUUUGAAAAUGAAAAUCCCAUUAAAUGAAAACUGUAGAAUCCUCUUCCAAAAUGUAGUUAAGCUUGAAAUUUUACCCAUGGAUUUAUGUGAAAUGUACAUCAAGUUCUCAAAUAACUUUAUUCAGAACCAUAAACAUAAAAAAUGCUUAAUAAAUAAGUUAGAAUCCUAAAUUAAGUUUAUCUUUGAACAGUAAGUCCUGUAUUUUACAGUUUUUAAAUGACUAUACAUGAUAUAUUCACUAUACUAACAAUAUGCUCUAUUGAUACAGAUCUAUAUCUUACCUGAAAACUGUUGAAAAGAGAAAAAUUCAACCAAUUCAAAGUUUUGGUCCAUAUUAGCAAAAAUUUAUGAAAAUACAAUUUGUGCUAAAUAAAAUUAAUUUUGGUUUGCUGAAUCAGCACAUUCCUUUUGCAGCUACAUUACAUAGCUUUUCAGAAGUUUAGCUGAAUUACCAGAAGUUUUAUGCACAAUUGCCUAGAAGCAGGACUAAAAAGCAUCCAAAAGUUUUCCCUGCAAAAAAUGAAAUCUUAUCUGAAGAUUUAGUUAUACUUUUAAAAUUUAUUCUGUAAUAACAUCCUGAAGAAACUAACAUUGUAGCCUUUGAGUUAGAAAAUAGUAUUAUAGCCUUUGAAUUUUAACAUAACAAAGUGAGGACACCAGGGACUAUAAAAAGGAUGCAUGCAUCAGUCUUGCUCAGCUCAAGACAAAGUACUGUUAAGAUGACCUACAAAUAGCUCUUGACAGAAAAGUUCAUUAUAAAUCUAUUUAAAAAACAUUUAAAUCCCCAGAUGAAUUCCUAUGUCAGCUGCUGUGUUAAAUGCCCCCAGAAGAUGUGUGCAUUCAUUUCAAUCUAAUAUUACUAACUAAGGGGGUAGUUUGGUAUGGCAAAAUAAAUCUAAAGGGUUUGGUAACUUUCAUUUUAAAUGACACAAACUACUAAAAUAAAUUAAUUGAAUUAUUGAAAGACAGAGGUAAAAGAAAGGUUUUAAAAAUAUAAAUGAAAGGAAGAUCCAAGUAUUCUUUAACCUAAAAAGCUUUUCAGACCUAAUAGGCAUGACAAAACCUGUCUUCAUUCCUUUCUAUUCAGCUCAGCAAGUGCUUUUGAGCUCCAAUAGUUAAUCAGUUACCAGAUUCCACAAUCUUUGUUUUUCACACUCCUCAAUUCUUGCAGUGAAUUGUUCCUCUACUGUACUUAGGAUCACCCAGCAGGCCAAUACUUUUUUUCUUUGGCCUUAAAAAGGCAAUUAUGUAUCCACAAUUAGAUUUACCAUAUACAGUUGUUACCAUAUAGCAAUAGCCUGUAAAAACAUAAUAGUGUAUUAUCAAAGAAGUAGAUGGCUUAAGAUGAAUCACUAAUAUAUGAAAUCUAUUUAGCAAAUUAUUCAACCCAGCUUUUUAAAUGGCUGUAGCCAUGCCCAAAUUACAAAGAAGUCUAGCAAAAGUAUAUUGUAUAAGCAAAUACUCUUUAUCUAAAUGAAUCAAUGAACAUAUAUGUGUUAUAAUAUCUAACCAGAUUUACAGAAAAGGUAUAAUGCAGAUAUUACCAUGUUAAAAAUAGAUAUCUUCUUAUAUAUCAUUUCUUAAUUUAACCUUUCAAAAAUGCAUACAAAAUUGAGAAAUAUAAAAAAUAUAUUAACUUACCCUUCAAUUUAUUUAGAAAACCUCUGCUCUUGGUCAAAAGCAGAACAUGUUUCACUGCUCACUUUCCCUGGAGCUAUGAGUUUAACAUUAAAUUAGUGGACGCCACCUCUCUGGACCACACUAGAGUUUGCUAGACACUACUGCUAUGGGGAAGAGUUCUGCUGCAUCUAAGCAAUAUACUGUGUGCAAUGGAUAACCUAAUAUGCCUUUCAUUUAACUGGCUGGGCAGGUUUCUACCGUCUGUGGAACAUGGAAUCAAACCAGAAUAUGUUGGCAUAACAGGCCAGUCAAACUGGUUCUUCUGUAGAUCCAAAACCUGUCUGACCAGUCUGUAUCAAAGGGUAGCCCAACAUGCUGCAGCGGCUCAGUUCUGCUAAACUUGUACUGGGGAUGGUCUGGAUCCUGCCAUGUAAAUCAAAGAAGAGAGGGCCUAACUCAGACGCCUAGCCUAGAUCACCUGGAACACAUUAUGCUACAGGAUCAUAAACACCUCCAUUUUCCCUUCAGAGAGAGACCAGAACCACUGAAGUUAAGCUACCUGCAUAAGAGUUGAGUGCGAUCAGCUGUACUUAAUCUUUAAAUGUCCAACCCACUGAUAACCUUUGGUUUGCUUUGAUAACUAUGAAAUAAAUUCUCACUGCAUUGGA